UUCUUUUCAAACACAAAAUGCUUUUAAGAGUAGUUCGUUGUAUUUCUAUCGUGAUAUCUUCUCUAAUUGAAUGCGCUUUUCUGGAUUUACCUUAUCCAGGAAUGUUCAAAGCCGAAUUCUUUAUCUCAUAAGCCAGCCUUAUAAAGUUAAAGGUACAUGUCGAAACAGAUGCUUGAAAUUGAGUGCCUUAAUAAAACGCGCAAAAGACUUCAAGAAGUUGUGUACGAGUUAUUUCCCUUUUCCCAGGUGUAAAGUGUUGAAAAGUCAAAUGUUUUUAAUUGAUACUAUUGCAAGAUGAAAGUUGGUUAAGAAUACAUGCACAAUUGUAAAAUGGAGUUAAUGCUUGAAAUGAAAGGUAUUAAUGUUCAUUCAUCAUAACAACGACAGACAUAAAUCUUCAUGGUCUAUCAUUCGUUUGAAUAGCCAGUCUCCGUCUACUAAUAUAUUAUCAUAUAGGUACUCUCUAGUAAAUGCAAUUUUAUUUCACAAACUACAAAAUUUUCACGAUUGAGUAAUUCCGUGGGUGGUGAACUAACACACUUCAGUUUUGUACAGUAGUGGAUAAAAGGUAAAUAAUUAUAUAAUAGCACAUAUGACAGUAAAUAAAUUAACUAAUAUAUUUGUAAAAAGUUAAAUCACAAAAAUACUGAACUCAGAGGAAAAUCAAAUCGGAAGUCCCUAAUCACAUGGCAAAAUCAAAUGACAAAACAC
This 711-nucleotide long non-coding RNA is filed under the name Mytilus galloprovincialis (Mediterranean mussel). The record is from RNAcentral. Lineage: Eukaryota; Metazoa; Mollusca; Bivalvia; Mytilida; Mytilidae.